Molecule: ribosomal RNA, 496 nt
Filed under: uncultured bacterium
Lineage: Bacteria
Description: partial 16S ribosomal RNA
Rfam family: Bacterial small subunit ribosomal RNA
Source: RNAcentral
GAUGAACGCUGGCGGCGUGCCUAAUACAUGCAAGUCGAGCGAACAGACGAGGAGCUUGCUCCUCUGACGUUAGCGGCGGACGGGUGAGUAACACGUGGAUAACCUACCUAUAAGACUGGGAUAACUUCGGGAAACCGGAGCUAAUACCGGAUAAUAUAUUGAACCGCAUGGUUCAAUAGUGAAAGACGGUUUUGCUGUCACUUAUAGAUGGAUCCGCGCCGCAUUAGCUAGUUGGUAAGGUAACGGCUUACCAAGGCAACCAUGCGUAGCCGACCUGAGAGGGGGUGCGGCCCCCCAGAACGGGACAACGGCCCCGACCCCCCACGGAGGGGCGGAAGAGGGAAUCUACCGUAGUGGGGGAAAGCCUGACGGAACCACCCCGGGUGAGUGAAGAAGGCCCUUGGUUUGGAAAACUCUUUUAUUGGGGAAAAAAAAAAUUGAAAGUAACUAUGGGCGCUUGACGGUAACCUAGGAAAAAGGCCCGGCUAAAUUCGUG